This 335-nucleotide ribosomal RNA is filed under the name Thamnodynastes lanei. RNAcentral describes it as "partial 12S ribosomal RNA". The record is from RNAcentral. RNAcentral also lists the same sequence under 1 other name. Lineage: Eukaryota; Metazoa; Chordata; Lepidosauria; Squamata; Dipsadidae.
AAAGACUUGACGGUACUUCACAACAACCUAGAGGAGCCUGUCCAAUAACCGAUAUUCCACGAUUAACCCAACCCACCCUUGCCCAACAGUCUAUAUACCGCCGUCGCCAGCUUACCUUGUGAAAGAACUAAAGUAAGCAAAAUAAACCACCAUUUAACACGACAGGUCGAGGUGUAACUAAUGAGUGGGUAAAAGAUGGGCUACAUUUUCUAAUACAGAAAACACGAAUAAACUAUGAAACUAGAAACUGAAGGCGGAUUUAGCAGUAUGAUAAGAAUAAAAUACUUAACUGAAACCAACGCAAUGAAGUGCGCACACACCGCCCGUCAUCCCUG